RNAcentral lists this ribosomal RNA (93 nucleotides) under Bacteroidaceae bacterium. RNAcentral's name for it is "partial 16S ribosomal RNA". It matches the Rfam family "Bacterial small subunit ribosomal RNA", at positions 1 to 100 of the family's 1533-position model. Lineage: Bacteria; Pseudomonadati; Bacteroidota; Bacteroidia; Bacteroidales; Bacteroidaceae. The record is from RNAcentral.
ACAAAGAAGAGUUUUAUCAUGGCUCAGGAUGAACGCUAGCUACAGGCUAAACACAUGCAAGUCGAGCGGAAUGGCUUCGGUCAUGUAGCGGCA